GGGCAAGUGGCGGAAUUGGCAUACGCGCAUGGCUUAGGACCAUGUCCCGUAAGGGUUGAGGGUUCGACUCCCUCCUUGCCCA
RNAcentral lists this transfer RNA (82 nucleotides) under Candidatus Magasanikiibacteriota bacterium. RNAcentral describes it as "tRNA-Leu". It matches the Rfam family "tRNA". Rfam says of the family: Transfer RNA (tRNA) molecules are approximately 80 nucleotides in length. Their secondary structure includes four short double-helical elements and three loops (D, anti-codon, and T loops). Further hydrogen bonds mediate the characteristic L-shaped molecular structure. tRNAs have two regions of fundamental functional importance: the anti-codon, which is responsible for specific mRNA codon recognition, and the 3' end, to which the tRNAs corresponding amino acid is attached (by aminoacyl-tRNA synthetases). tRNAs cope with the degeneracy of the genetic code in two manners: having more than one tRNA (with a specific anti-codon) for a particular amino acid; and 'wobble' base-pairing, i.e. permitting non-standard base-pairing at the 3rd anti-codon position. Lineage: Bacteria; Candidatus Magasanikiibacteriota. The record is from RNAcentral.